AAGGAAGGUGUCGGAAGUUCACGUCGAUGAACGGGAGCUAUUUCGAGUUCCUCAGCGUUGCUCGAGGAGAAGUGCGUUUUAAUGGUGCACGCAGGUGCGAGUACAUCGUGUCCUCCCUUCUCUUGCAUCCUAAGUAUCUGUUAAUGACGGCUUACAACGAAAUGGCAAAGUUCCCUUCCUUCGGCUGUUCCUCCUAGUUUUAUCCGGUUCGCUACAACGAUGCGAGAACUUCCCGUCAUCGUUGCGAGAGCCAUCGUCGCAAUUGUGCAGUUUUACAGUGCUUCUUAAAUUAUAAUUUUACGGUUUUCAACGAGAAUCUUUUCGCUAAAUCUUCUUUGUAAAAAA
Molecule: long non-coding RNA, 345 nt
Organism: Monomorium pharaonis (pharaoh ant)
Lineage: Eukaryota; Metazoa; Arthropoda; Insecta; Hymenoptera; Formicidae
Exons: 2
Source: RefSeq, a predicted model, not a curated record